CGGUCCAGACUCCUACGGGAGGCAGCAGUGGGGAAUAUUGCACAAUGGGCGAAAGCCUGAUGCAGCCAUGCCGCGUGUAUGAAGAAGGCCUUCGGGUUGUAAAGUACUUUCAGUUGUGAGGAAGGGGGUAACGUUAAUAGCGUUAUCUCUUGACGUUAGCAACAGAAGAAGCACCGGCUAACUCCGUGCCAGCAGCCGCGGUAA
RNAcentral lists this ribosomal RNA (204 nucleotides) under uncultured Vibrio sp. RNAcentral describes it as "partial 16S ribosomal RNA". It matches the Rfam family "Bacterial small subunit ribosomal RNA", at positions 327 to 523 of the family's 1533-position model. Lineage: Bacteria; Pseudomonadati; Pseudomonadota; Gammaproteobacteria; Vibrionales; Vibrionaceae. The record is from RNAcentral.